Molecule: transfer RNA, 62 nt
Filed under: Bostrichoidea sp. KM-2015
Lineage: Eukaryota; Metazoa; Arthropoda; Insecta; Coleoptera
Also listed under: 1 other name
Description: tRNA-Cys
Source: RNAcentral
GGUCUUACAGUUUUUGGAAUACCAAAUUGCAAGUUUGGCGGUGUAAAGUUUUUCUAAGGCUU